AGAACCCGUCUUCGGACGGUGGACAGUGGCGCACGGGUGAGUAACGCGUGGGAAUCUACCCUAAAGUGGGGAAUAACGUCUGGAAACGGACGCUAAUACCGCAUAAUCCCUUCGGGGGAAAGGCUUCGGCCGCUUUUGGAUGAGCCCGCGUCUGAUUAGCUUGUUGGUGGGGUAAUGGCCUACCAAGGCGACGAUCAGUAGCUGGUCUGAGAGGAUGAUCAGCCACACUGGGACUGAGACACGGCCCAGACUCCUACGGGAGGCAGCAGUGGGGAAUAUUGGACAAUGGGGGAAACCCUGAUCCAGCAAUGCCGCGUGAGUGAAGAAGGCCUUAGGGUUGUAAAGCUCUUUCAGAUGUGAGGAUGAUGACAGUAGCAUCAGAAGAAGCCCCGGCUAACUCCGUGCCAGCAGCCGCGGUAAUACGGAGGGGGCUAGCGUUGUUCGGAUUUACUGGGCGUAAAGCGCGCGUAGGCGGCGCUUCAAGUCAGAGGUGAAAUCCCGGGGCUCAACCCCGGAAUUGCCUUUGAAACUGAAGUGCUUGAGUUCUAGAGAGGGUGGCGGAAUUCCAAGUGUAGAGGUGAAAUUCGUAGAUAUUUGGAAGAACACCAGUGGCGAAGGCGGCCACCUGGCUAGAUACU
RNAcentral lists this ribosomal RNA (638 nucleotides) under Varunaivibrio sulfuroxidans. Its description in RNAcentral is "bacterial SSU rRNA". It matches the Rfam family "Bacterial small subunit ribosomal RNA", at positions 69 to 741 of the family's 1533-position model. The record is from RNAcentral. Lineage: Bacteria; Pseudomonadati; Pseudomonadota; Alphaproteobacteria; Rhodospirillales; Magnetovibrionaceae.